Small nucleolar RNA from Prosopis cineraria, 90 nucleotides. RefSeq annotates it as small nucleolar RNA Z122. Lineage: Eukaryota; Viridiplantae; Streptophyta; Magnoliopsida; Fabales; Fabaceae. The record is from RefSeq and is a predicted model, not a curated record. The transcript has a single exon.
UUAGGGAAAUGAUGCCAAAUAUGAAAAUAUUUGCUGAAGCACCUGCCAUGCUGAGUGGUUCUCAUAUUUGCAUGUCAGUUUGACCCCGAA